RNAcentral lists this ribosomal RNA (497 nucleotides) under uncultured bacterium. RNAcentral describes it as "partial 16S ribosomal RNA". It matches the Rfam family "Bacterial small subunit ribosomal RNA", at positions 28 to 507 of the family's 1533-position model. The record is from RNAcentral.
GAUGAACGCUGGCGGCGUGCCUAAUACAUGCAAGUCGAGCGAACAGACGAGGAGCUUGCUCCUCUGACGUUAGCGGCGGACGGGUGAGUAACACGUGGAUAACCUACCUAUAAGACUGGGAUAACUUCGGGAAACCGGAGCUAAUACCGGAUAAUAUAUUGAACCGCAUGGUUCAAUAGUGAAAGACGGUUUUGCUGUCACUUAUAGAUGGAUCCGCGCCGCAUUAGCUAGUUGGUAAGGUAACGGCUUACCAAGGCAACGAUGCGUAGCCGACCUGAGAGGGUGAUAGGCCACACUGGAACUGAGCCACGGUCCUGACUCCUACGGGAGGCAGCAGUAGGGAAUCUUCCGCAAUGGGCGAAAGCCUGACGGAGCAACGCCGCGUGAGUGAUGAAGGUCUUCCGAUCGUAAAACUCUGUUAUUAGGGAAGAACAAAUGUGUAAGUAACUAUGCACGUCUUGACGGUACCUAAUCAGAAAGCCACGGCUAACUACGUG